RNAcentral lists this ribosomal RNA (468 nucleotides) under uncultured bacterium. Its description in RNAcentral is "partial 16S ribosomal RNA". It matches the Rfam family "Bacterial small subunit ribosomal RNA", at positions 28 to 507 of the family's 1533-position model. The record is from RNAcentral.
GACGAACGCUGGCGGCGUGCUUAACACAUGCAAGUCGGACGGAAAGGCCCUGCUUUUGUGGGGUGCUCGAGUGGCGAACGGGUGAGUAACACGUGAGUAACCUGCCCUUGACUUUGGGAUAACUUCAGGAAACUGGGGCUAAUACCGGAUAGGAGCUCCUGCUGCAUGGUGGGGGUUGGAAAGUUUCGGCGGUUGGGGAUGGACUCGCGGCUUAUCAGCUUGUUGGUGGGGUAGUGGCUUACCAAGGCUUUGACGGGUAGCCGGCCUGAGAGGGUGACCGGCGACAUUGGGACUGAGAUACGGACCAGACUCCUACGGGAGGCAGAAGUGGGGAAUAUUGCACAAUGGGAGGAAGCCUGAUGCAGCAACGCCGCGUGCGGGAUGACGGCCUUCGGGUUGAAAACCGCUUUCGCCUGUGACGAAGCGUGAGUGACGGUAAUGGGUAAAGAAGCACCGGCUAACUACGUG